ACAGUGGAAGGUCAGAAUGGGGAAGGCACUACUGAAGUACUGAGCUCCGCCAACCCCAAGUGCUUGAAUCUGAGAAAGGCAAAGGCUGACCAAGGCACAGAGCAGAUGACUAAACUUUUCAAGACAUGCAGCUGGCACAUAUCUCUGUGGACGAAAUGAUCCGCUAAGUGCCUGUCUUGCUCUCUGUGAGUCUUUCCCUCACAGGAGUGCGUGCCAAUGCGGAUGGUUCACUUGUAUCUACUCUAGCCAUGCUUUGCUUUCGAUGAUGCAGGGAUGAAGAAAGGCUUGGUGACUCUGUGCCCCACUGCGUGGAGAAGACAGCAAAAUAAGGAGACGACGGGGAACUGGCUGGUUUGAAACUAAUAACAUCAAAAAUGUGCUUGGAGGGGGAAGAUUUUCAUUCUUUGUGAUGUCCAUAUAUGGAAUACUAUUAAUAGGGUGAAUGCAAUUCUGAGAAUUCCUAAGGCUGUGUUAGUUCUGUUAUAUAAUUCUCUCUCUCUCUCUCUCUCUCUCUCUCUCUCUCUCUCUCUCUCUCUCCUUUACCAGUACAUCUUAGCCUUCAUUGUUAUAGCUCCCUUUGUUCACAUAAAUGGGUUUGUUGAUCAUUCCUUUUACAAACUGCAGUACUCCACUAGCUGCCAUUUGGAGAGAAGGUAUUCUUGUUCACUCUAUCGUUGAUUAUAAAUUGAGCUAUGGAAACUUUGUUAUGAAGCCUCAAGAGACAAAGCAUGCCAGCUCUCCACCUCUUGCUGCACAGAGUUACACAGCCAAGAGGAGAGGGGAAGAGAGCCUUCACAACCUGGCCUGUACUCCUUCCUGGCUUCACCUCACUAGCUCCAUAAUUCCUCAAAGGCUAAAACUUUUUUUUAAGAUUUAAUUUAUUUUAUGUAUGUGAGUACACUGUAGCUGUCUUCAGACACACCAAAAGAGGGCAUCUGAUCCCAUUACAGAUGGUUGGGUGUCACCAUAUGGCUGCUGGGAAUUGAAAUCAGGACCUCUGGAAGAGCAAUAAGUGCUCUUAACCACUGAACCAUCUCUCCAAUUUACUAAAACUUUUUUAAAAAUUCACUCCAUUACCCUUCCUACAAAGGGGGUUGGAGGCAGGGGCUACUGUCUUGGAGUAUUUUAACGAUUCAGUGACAUGACCGAGAUUUUCAAAAGACCUCCCAAUUCAUGCUGUCCAACAGAAAUGUAAUGCAAGCCAUGUCUGUAAUUUUCAACUUGCAAGUAGCCACACUUUCAAAAGGCAGAGAAGAAGCAGGGGAAAUUAAUUAUAAUAACACAUUUUCUUUAAUCUGAUGUAUCCAAAAUAUUAUCAUUUCAAGACCUAGUCACCAAAUCUAUGUUAAUGGAAUAUUUUACAUUUAUUUUAUUUCCUACUAAGUCUCUAAAAGCCAAUGUGGAUUUUACACACUGAGACAGUGCACUUUCACAAGAAAUACUCACUUUAUAUUUAGCUUUGUCAAGACUUGCAGUUGAAAAAAAAUAGAUUCACAUACACAAGUUGUGCCAAAAGUACUUAAAUAUUUCCUAAAAUCUGAAUCAAGUAUAAGUGUUUUAAAUUUAAAAUAAUUAAGAUGAAAUAAACAUGGAAAG
This 1596-nucleotide long non-coding RNA is filed under the name Mus caroli (Ryukyu mouse). Its description in RNAcentral is "lncRNA (MGP_CAROLIEiJ_G0005869.1)". The record is from RNAcentral. Lineage: Eukaryota; Metazoa; Chordata; Mammalia; Rodentia; Muridae.